This is a long non-coding RNA of Apodemus sylvaticus (European woodmouse), 261 nucleotides long. RefSeq lists it as uncharacterized. The record is from RefSeq and is a predicted model, not a curated record. The transcript is spliced from 3 exons. NCBI's taxonomy places the organism in Eukaryota, Metazoa, Chordata, Mammalia, Rodentia, Muridae.
AGGGAGGCUGAGCAGCCGGGAGACUCCCAGCCACCAGCAAGCUUUAUGUAGGUCCAGUGCUGGACUCAGAUGACUUGGGUAACUCAGACUUUCUGCAUGCCCUUAUGAAAACCAUGAUCUGCUACCAACCUGUGGGCCAGGAAGUCAUGCACCUGCAUCUGGAUCCCUCUGGUACCUGUGAAAUCUAGAUUCCCCAGGCCCGCUCUCUGGAAAUAUAAAUCUGGAGGAAGUUUCUCUGAUGACUGAGCAAGGCAAUGAUCU